This 325-nucleotide ribosomal RNA is filed under the name uncultured bacterium. RNAcentral's name for it is "bacterial SSU rRNA". It matches the Rfam family "Bacterial small subunit ribosomal RNA", at positions 28 to 334 of the family's 1533-position model. The record is from RNAcentral.
GAUGAACGCUGGCGGCGUGCUUAACACAUGCAAGUCGAACGGAACAACUGCAAGGAGAGUCUUCGGAAAGGAAUUGCUUUUGUUUAGUGGCGGACGGGUGAGUAACGCGUGGGUAACCUGCCCUGUACAGGGGGAUAACAGCUGGAAACGGCUGUUAAUACCGCAUAAGCGCACGGAAUCGCAUGAUUUUGUGUGAAAAACUCCGGUGGUACAGGAUGGACCCGCGUCUGAUUAGCUGGUUGGCAGGGUAACGGCCUACCAAGGCGACGAUCAGUAGCCGGCCUGAGAGGGUGAACGGCCACAUUGGGACUGAGACACGGCCCAA